Molecule: ribosomal RNA, 497 nt
Filed under: uncultured bacterium
Lineage: Bacteria
Description: partial 16S ribosomal RNA
Rfam family: Bacterial small subunit ribosomal RNA
Source: RNAcentral
GAUGAACGCUGGCGGCGUGCCUAAUACAUGCAAGUCGAGCGGACGGAGGAGGCUUUUGCCUGGCUGAUGUUACGGGCGGACGGGUGAGUACCACGAGUCUGACCGGUCUAUAAGGCUGACAUACCUUAAGGAAACCUGAUCUCACACACGUUAUGAUUUUGAACCGCAGGGUUCAUAGGUGAAAACCCGUCCUGCUGUCCCUAAUUGGUAGAUCCUGGCUGCAUUAGCUAGUUGGUAAGGUAACGGCUUACCAAGGCAACGAUGCGUAGCCGACCUGAGAGGGUGAUCAGCCACACUGGAACUGAGACACGGUCCAGACUCCUACGGGAGGCAGCAGUGGGGAAUCUUCCGCAAUGGGCGAAAGCCUGACGGAGCAACGCCGCGUGUGUGAUGAAGGUCUUCGGAUCGUAAAGCACUGUUAGUAGGGAGGAAGAUAUGUGUAAGUAACUGUGCACAUCUUGACGGUACCUAAUCAGAAAGCCACGGCUAACUACGUG